GAUGAAGAACGUAGCGAAAUGCGAUAGGUAGUGUGAAUUGCAGAUGUAACGUGAAUCAUCGAAUCUUUGAACGCAAAUUGCACUCUCUGGUAUUCCGGGGAGUAUGCCUGUUUGAGGGUCGCCAAAUCAACAUCGAAAUUCAUUUGCUUUUUGCAAAUGUUUAUCGGAUUUGAGCCGUCUUUUUAUUUUUUUUUUAAAGUUGCUUAAAAUGUAUUUUUUUGGUAUCGAAAUACGUUAUUUUACGAUCCAAUCGAUCAAAAAACAAACGUUUCGAAUGCCGUCUUUUAAUGUAAUACGUUUGACUGUGUAUACAAUCAUGGUUUCAUUCGUAUACGAGUUUUUAAUUUUUGACCUCAAAUCAGGUAAGAACACCCGCUGAACUUAAGCAUAUCAAUAAGCGGAGGA
Molecule: unclassified non-coding RNA, 405 nt
Filed under: soil metagenome
Description: partial contains 5.8S ribosomal RNA, internal transcribed spacer 2, and large subunit ribosomal RNA
Rfam family: 5.8S ribosomal RNA (bases 1-121)
Source: RNAcentral